CAGUCGCCACGGGAAUACAGAGGGUGCGAGCGUUAAUCGGAAUUACUGGGCGUAAAGGGCGUGUAGGCGGCCUGGGGCGUCCCAUGUGAAAGGCCACGGCUCAACCGUGGAGGAGCGUGGGAUACGCUCAGGCUAGAGGGUGGGAGAGGGUGGUGGAAUUCCCGGAGUAGCGGUGAAAUGCGCAGAUACCGGGAGGAACGCCGAUGGCGAAGGCAGCCACCUGGUCCACUUCUGACGCUGAGGCGCGAAAGCGUGGGGAGCAAACCGGAUUAGAUACCCGAGUAGUCCCUGUCUCUUAUAC
This 301-nucleotide ribosomal RNA is filed under the name uncultured bacterium. Its description in RNAcentral is "partial 16S ribosomal RNA". It matches the Rfam family "Bacterial small subunit ribosomal RNA", at positions 509 to 807 of the family's 1533-position model. The record is from RNAcentral.